Molecule: ribosomal RNA, 484 nt
Filed under: uncultured bacterium
Lineage: Bacteria
Description: partial 16S ribosomal RNA
Rfam family: Bacterial small subunit ribosomal RNA
Source: RNAcentral
AUUGAACGCUGGCGGCAUGCUUUACACAUGCAAGUCGAACGGCAGCGCGGGCUUCGGCCUGGCGGCGAGUGGCGAACGGGUGAGUAAUGCAUCGGAACGUGCCCAGUAGUGGGGGAUAGCCCGGCGAAAGCCGGAUUAAUACCGCAUACGACCUGAGGGUGAAAGCGGGGGACCGAAAGGCCUCGCGCUAUUGGAUCGGCCGAUGUCGGAUUAGCUAGUUGGUGGGGUAAAGGCUUACCAAGGCGACGAUCCGUAGCUGGUCUGAGAGGACGACCAGCCACACUGGGACUGAGACACGGCCCAGACUCCUACGGGAGGCAGCAGUGGGGAAUUUUGGACAAAGGGGGCAACCCUGAUCCAGCCAUGCCGCGUGCGGGAAGAAGGCCUUCGGGUUGUAAACCGCUUUUGUUCGGGAAGAAAUCCUCUGGGCUAAUACCCCGGGGGGAUGACGGUACCGGAAGAAUAAGCACCGGCCAACUACGUG